RNAcentral lists this ribosomal RNA (554 nucleotides) under uncultured bacterium. RNAcentral describes it as "bacterial SSU rRNA". It matches the Rfam family "Bacterial small subunit ribosomal RNA", at positions 777 to 1345 of the family's 1533-position model. The record is from RNAcentral.
AAUAGAUACCCGGGUAGUCCACGCCGUAAACGAUGGAUGCUAGCUGUUAUGCGUAUCGACCCGUGUAGUAGCGAAGCUAACGCGUUAAGCAUCCCGCCUGGGGAGUACGAACGCAAGUUUAAAACUCAAAGGAAUUGACGGGGACCCGCACAAGCGGUGGAGCGUGUUCUUUAAUUCGAGGCUAAGCGAAGAACCUUAUCAGGGCUUGACAUCCUUGGAAUUUCUCCGAAAGGAGAGAGUACUUUAUUGGACCAAGUGACAGGUGCCGCAUGGCCGUCGUCAGCUCGUGUCGUGAGAUGUUUGGUUAAGUCCAUUAACGAGCGCAACCCUUAUGAAUAGUUGUAUUUUUCUAUUCAGACUGCCCCGGUAACGGGGAGGAAGGGGGGAUGAUGUCAGGUCAGUAUUGCCCUUACGCCCUGGGCUAGAAACGCGCUACAAUGGCCGGUACAAUGCGCUGCCAACCCGCGAGGGGGAGCAAAUCGCAUCAAAGCCGGUCCCAGUUCGGAUAAGAGGCUGAAACUCGCCUCUUUGAAGCCGGAAUCGCUAGUAAUCGU